CUGCAGUUCCGCGGGGAAGAGAAGAGAGGAGUGAAGAAGGCUGUUUCUUCAGAUUGCUGACGAUUAGAUGAGAUGGAUGUAAAGUGCUCAACGCAGUGCCUAGAGCCUAGUUCCGAUUUUAACUGCCUCAGCUUGAGCGAUGAGGACAUGAGAACAGGAACAUCUAAGAACCACAGACCUGAGGAAGAAUCUCCAGGUUAAAGAGGUGGAAGUUGCUAGAAUUUAAAAGCAGUGUUUCCACACAGGAGAAAUGACCUGCUAAAGGGCCACGGCACCAGAACGCUUUCUAAUUCUUUGCCUCCACUUCUGCCUCAAAUAAUGACCUACUCUAAGAGGAGGAGAGUGUGUUGGUUAGUGGGCUUGCAGUCAUACACCCUGGAUUCUGCCUCUUGUUAGCUCUGGGCCUUGAGCAAAUGACUUAACCUCUUUGUGACUCAGUUUCUUCAUCUAUUAAAAUGGGGACAGGGAUGGUGAUGAUGAUAUCACCUACUCUGUAGGGUUGCUAUGAAAAAAAUCAAAGAUUAGUAUUUGUAAAGCACUUACAGGGUCUGGUACCUAAUAAACUCGAUAUAGAUGUUUGUUAAAUAAGAAUGGCACAAUGGUAUGGACACUGUGGCUGUUUCUCUGAGUUUCCUGAAGAAACAGCUGUUCAUGAAACCUUCUGAAAACUCAAAUGUAGCUGAAGUUGCCCAAAAUAUGGUAUGAGCAAUCUUCCUUCUUCUACUCAUCAGCGCCUUCACUGUAGAGGGGUCUCUAUUCAGUGCUCACAGAAGUCCUAUAUUUCAGUGGCCUGCUCUGGAUAUCCAAACUUCUAAUGAGAAAUGGUACCUUAUUUAGGUUAAAAAGAAGAUGGACUAAUAUUGGGUGUACGCUUUCUA
Molecule: long non-coding RNA, 878 nt
Organism: Mirounga angustirostris (Northern elephant seal)
Lineage: Eukaryota; Metazoa; Chordata; Mammalia; Carnivora; Phocidae
Exons: 3
Source: RefSeq, a predicted model, not a curated record